This 1623-nucleotide unclassified non-coding RNA is filed under the name Hevea brasiliensis (rubber tree). The record is from RNAcentral. Lineage: Eukaryota; Viridiplantae; Streptophyta; Magnoliopsida; Malpighiales; Euphorbiaceae.
AAUUAUCUCUCUACUUCUCUCUCUCUCUCUCUGUACUGUCAACUUUUAACUAUUUACACUCCAAGCCCCUGCAAUACCCUACAAUCUUGCAAAACCCCCCAAAUUUUUGCCUAAGGUACCCUCUUUCCCUCUCAAUAUAUACCAUUUUAAUUUUUAAUUAUCUUCUUUUUCCUUCAAGGUCCUUUGUAAAUUUCUACAAUUCUAGGGUUUCAUUUGAUCUUUUCAUACAAGCUAGGGUUUUCUUUUUUCUGCUGCGUGCUUAGAUACCAGUUGAGAAUUGGAGCAGUAUCGGAGAAUUUAAUGGAGGCCGCGGCCGGUGUCGUCGCCUCACGCGGCGGUUCUCUGCCGAUGCCAUUGUCUAGGAAGGAGUGGCGUGCCGUUUCUGACCAUCAUUCCGUUCGAAACGCUGGUGAUGAGGUGGUAAUUUUGCUUUCGGGUUGUUCAGAUUCCUGCGAAAAAUGUAGGAGAGAAAUUGAACGUUUGGUGUGUGGUACAAGAUUUUAGCGGUUUCGUUUGAUGCAAAGUUUGUAGUUUCCGUUGAUUUUCUCAGCUACCAAACUUGGAGUUGGGUCAUUUUUUAGUGUGCUUUUACAAUAUAUGAACAGAACGCUUGAUGUGAACAAUUUGGUUUAUGUGGUUUUGCCCAAGGUUUUUGAAGUAAUCUGCGGGUUGAACUUCAUUUUCUGUAUGGAAAAAUUAGUCUCCAGUAGGUUGUCGGAACCUAACUCCGAUGUAUAAUUUCAUUCUAGUGAAUGUUCUGUCAUAUUUAUGAGUAACGUUGAAAACCAGCCAAUAAAUUUGACAUCCAAAUCUUUAAUUCCUUCUGUUUUCUGCAUUUUCUGGGUAACUUAAUAAAUGCUAGGAUGUGUAACUUGUGUUGAUCUCUGGGUCAUUAAUUUGGUGCUGGUUAAUCACAGGAAUUGGAACGAUCAAAUUUGGUGCAAUCAGAUGAGAGAACAACAUGCGAGCAUGGAAGAGAGCCUGCUGAUGUGGACUUCUGUUCGAUCAAUGUGGAUGGUAGUUUGGACAAUGACAUUAUGCAGCAGCGAAUUCAUAGUAUUACUAGACAAAGAGAAGAGCUGCAACAUGUGGAGAUUGAACUUAAAGCUCAGUUGAAGAUCAUGGAAAUGCAGAACAGUUUUGAUGCUCAAAUCAAAGAUCAUGAAGAUGCUGCUGCAAAUCUUAAGGAACAACUCCGAGAAAGGGAACAGGUGAAACAUGAAUUAGAAAGGAGAAUGGAAGAGAAAGAAAGAGAAUUACAUGCCAUUAAAUUGGAUAAUGAAGCGGCCUGGGCCAAGGAAGGCCUUCUCAGAGAACAAAAUAAAGAAUUGGCAACAUUUAGAAGAGAGCGGGAUCAUUCUGAAGCUGAAAGGGCACAGCAUAUACAGCAAAUACGGGACCUUCAAGAACAUGUUCAAGAAAAAGAGAGGCAGAUUCUUGAAUUGCAGGAACAGCAUAGAGCUGAUCAGGAGACAAUAUUUUUGAAGGAUGAACAAUUGAAAAUUUGGAUUGCACGCGUUCAGGAGAUGGAUGCCUUGCAAUCUACUACAAACCACUCGCUGCAAGUUGAAUUACGAGAACGUACAGAACAAUAUAAUCAGCUAUGGUUGGGUUGUCAAAGAC